AGCGAACGCUGGCGGCAGGCUUAACACAUGCAAGUCGAACGGAUCCUUCGGGAUUAGUGGCGGACGGGUGAGUAACACGUGGGAACGUGCCUUUUGGUUCGGAACAACACAGGGAAACUUGUGCUAAUACCGGAUGUGCCCUUCGGGGGAAAGAUUUAUCGCCAUUAGAGCGGCCCGCGUCUGAUUAGCUUGUUGGUGAGGUAAAGGCUCACCAAGGCUACGAUCAGUAGCUGGUCGAGAGGAUGAUCA
This 249-nucleotide ribosomal RNA is filed under the name uncultured bacterium. Its description in RNAcentral is "partial 16S ribosomal RNA". It matches the Rfam family "Bacterial small subunit ribosomal RNA", at positions 29 to 306 of the family's 1533-position model. The record is from RNAcentral.